CAUUCAGGAAUGACCCCGUGAGAUUUGAUUCAGAGGUUCAUCUACAUAAUGAGGCAGGAGGAUAUGCAGAGUGGAAUUCAUCAUCAGUUUCAUCCUCUUCUACGGAUAAGUUUGGUUUCUCUUCUUUUCCUGUUGAGAGAGAACCUUACAUCCCAAAGUUUGUUGAAGUUAACUAUACUGAAGGUUCAAAUGACAAGAAGUGGAGGGAUGGUCCUUUCCCGUGGACUAAAGAACUGGAGGCUAAUAAUAAGAGAGUGUUUGGUAACCACUCUUUCCGCCUCAACCAAAGAGAGGUCAUUAAUGCUACAAUGAGUGGCCAUGAUGUUUUCGUUUUAAUGCCAAUUGGAGGGGGUAAGAGCCUGACAUAUCAGGUACUUGAAUCUUUUUCUCACGACUCUUUUGACUUGUUUCAGGCAAAUAUUCCUGCUGCUUACCUAAGUGCCAAUAUGGAGUGGAGUGAACAACAGGAGAUUCUUAGAGCACCGAGUUCUGAAUAUUAUAAAUACAAGCUGUUAUAUGUCACCCCUGAAAAAGUUGCCAAAGUGAUCCUGAGUUAAAUGUUGACCAGUUGGAUAGUGCACUAAAAGACAAUGUGGCAGCUGAAACUGAUGCUCCUGCUGAAUAUAGUGAAAAGGAGGCAUUUGAUGAUCAUCAGUACAAUGGUAAAGAACCAAUCAUCUGUUAGGUUAGUCAUCACUGUAACUAGGCUUUUGUUUUUAAACUGUACACAAGUUUCAGUCUUUCAGAUGUUUUGCAUUGUGGAAAGGGAAAAUCUGUAAGCAACGCCUUUGAAUUGUACAUGAAUUGUAAAGACUUCGAAGCCUUUAUUUCAUCUUAAGAAUAUAA
Molecule: RNA transcript, 846 nt
Organism: Rosa chinensis
Lineage: Eukaryota; Viridiplantae; Streptophyta; Magnoliopsida; Rosales; Rosaceae
Exons: 4
Source: RefSeq, a predicted model, not a curated record